Molecule: long non-coding RNA, 385 nt
Filed under: Heterocephalus glaber (naked mole-rat)
Lineage: Eukaryota; Metazoa; Chordata; Mammalia; Rodentia; Bathyergidae
Description: lncRNA (ENSHGLG00100042281.1)
Source: RNAcentral
GAGCUGCCCUACUCAGCCUUCUCCUGGCCUGGGUGUGAUGUGAUCUCCCUUUGGUAGAACUCUGUCAAGCUGACCACUGAGUGUACUGGUGGGCUGGUCUGUCUUGUGGCUGGGACAAAGGACCGUCUGUACCUUGGAGAAGUUUGGCUGGGGCAGCCAAGAUCCAGGUGUGUGCAGCUGCCGGAAGGGGAGGCUCCCCAGUGCCCUCUAUGCCCUGGCUGCCUAGAGAUCCUCACUCCUGGACACUAGGAACCAAGACCCUAGGACUGAGCACAUGCUCUGUGCUGGCCUCUGAGGCUGCACCUCCUUAGUGCUGAUGCACUGAAGGGAAGGACAGGGGGAAGGGAAGGGGUAGGCAGGGGUGGCCAUGGCUGCUCCAGGCCCC